RNAcentral lists this long non-coding RNA (945 nucleotides) under Nicotiana benthamiana. RNAcentral describes it as "long non-coding RNA (NBEN_LNC016396)". Lineage: Eukaryota; Viridiplantae; Streptophyta; Magnoliopsida; Solanales; Solanaceae. The record is from RNAcentral.
CCUCUCCAAAUCAAUGAAACAGUAGUAGCAAAUGCAGUAGCAAUUACAGCUUUUUUGAACUGUUUGCUCCUUGCAUUGCUACAUAUCCAUGUUAAUUCAGAUUUCCAGCAAACAGGCCUUCUAUGAUAUCCCAGCCAAUGACAAAUCUUGCUCCAAAUUCUGUUUGUGACUGAGCAAUCAAAAAAUUUGUAUUGUAUUUGUUAUUGUCAUUAUAAAGUGUUUCUAACAAAAAGCUUAAAUCAAAAUUUACAUUUUCAACCUUUUGAUCUUGCUUUUGUCAGGUGUCACCAAUAAAUUAAACUUUGCCUAAGGCCCCGUUUGACCAUAAGUUUUGCCAAAAUAAAUUUGAGAUUUAUUUUCAAAACUCAUGUUUGGCCACAAAUUUUGCUUAUAUUUUGGCCAAAUUCCAAAUAAAAAAUUUCAAAUUCCGAAAUCAGCUAUUGAGUUAAUUUUGAGCCAAAAUCCCAAAACUUCGGAAUUAUAUACAUGUUUUUUCAAAAUAAAGUUGGAAAAUAUAUCCAAACAUAUUUUAUCUUCAAACCAAACUUAACCCAAACCAAAAUUUUCAAAAUAAAUUUGAUAUGUAUGGCCAAACGCUAGCUAAGGGUAACAUAUUAGUACGAAAGAUGGAAGUAUAUCGGUGAAUGAAAAAAUAAUAAAAGAAGAUUUCAUAAGAGGAUGUUGAUCCAAGUUAACAAUGAUCACACGGUUUCGUAAGGUUUGACUUAGGUCUAUUUAUGAGAAAUAAAUUAUAAAAGAUGAUUCUUUAUUGUCCGCUAGAUGGCACAUAGUAUUUUUAUCUUCUGUACUUCCCCCUUGGAAGAAAAAGCUCAUCUUUAAGUUAAUCACCAUGAAGUAAGCUUGCAAUUAAUAAUUUUGGUGUAUAUUCGUCUUUUAAUUAAGAAAGUACGAGGAGCAUGCUCAAGGGAAAAACUUUUGCUUUCC